GUCUUUCUGAAAGUAGGUGGAGAAGGAGUCCUGCUUGUACUCAGCCUUCCUUUUUUCCUCCAGUCUGGGAUGUAGAUGAGAUGGUUGAAGCUCCAGCAGUCAUGGUGGAUCAUGAGGACACUCUGAGGAUGGAAACAAUGUGCUUGGAGAUUGAGUAAGAAAGACAGAAGGAGCUUGGAUCCCUGCUGACUGUAGAACUCUCCCUCACAGCCUGAAAUUACCUCCUUCCAGCCUUUUUUCACAUGAGAGAAAUGAACCUCUAACUUGUUUAAUCUGGAUUAUUCUGGGCUUUCUGUUGUGUGCAGUGGAACCCAAUCUUCAUCGAGUUCCCCUUCCCAAGAGUUCUGUCAUUUUUCCUGCAUUCUUUUUAGAUUUCAUAGCAUUUACUCUUUCCGAUAGAUGUGAAAAUUCUUUGAAAAGUUAACAUCUUGAAUAAUGAAAGACAGCCUGUGCAACCCACGCAGAAGUAGGAGCUUUAAGCAAAGUUUUGUAAAGAGGACUGCAGAACUUCUCUGUGUGUCUCGCUGGGACCUCAGAAUUUUUACCAGAAAAGGCAGGAGGGGACUGCCUGGUUUAAGCAUCUCUCCCUAACUGUGGUUUGGAAAAGUUUUUUUAAUUUGAGAAUUUAAACAGUCAAUACAAGGAUUAUUCCAACCUGGUUGAUCCAUGCUCUGAAAUGAGAACUCCCAUAGUUUAUCAUCUCUAAGAUACUAAAAUGCACAAUAUUUUAUAGAUCAAGGAAGGAAAAAUUCUGCCAGCUAUAACGAAAAGGAAACGGAGGUCUGGAGAAAUGAUGCAGGUUGGCGGCAAACCCAAGAUUCACCUGGAAAAAAUUCCAUUCUCCUCAAAAUGUGGCUAUCAAGGCCUAAGAUGAUCUUGGAAGCUGCAGGCUGAAGAUGGCAGGGCCUGAGUCCCUGAGCUACUGUGUGGAGUAGAGCCCCACCUCUUGCUGACCAGGAAUAUAGGCAUUGGCGGUUACACAGACAGUUGGGGAUUCUUUGAGCUGAAAGGGCUUCGAGAAGCUGCGGUAUCCAGCUCCCUGGCUGGACAGACGAGGAGGCCAAGGAGCAAAAAGAAGAGGUGACCUGUGACUAUAUGAUCACCAGGCAAGCAAGAGGCGGGGCCCAACUCACAGUACUGCACUCAUUUAGGGGUACAAGAGCCUUCAAGCUCCUUUAGUCAUUCAGCUUAUUUAUUUAUUCUAUUAAACACAACUAUAUUCUUAAUGUAUAUUAUUCAAGCCAUACAUAAUUAGUGGGAGCAAAAGGUGAAGUGUCCACUACUCUCCUCUCGAUGCCACUUCUGUUCCUCGACUACCGCAAUGAGACACCUGAAGCAAGAGGCAGAUGUGAUUGAGUUAAGGCUCUUGAGAUGGGGGAUUAUUCUAGAUGCUCAGGUGGGCCCCAAAAUGUAAUCACCCAUGUCCUUAUCAGAAGGAGGCAGGGGUGGAUUUAACACUCUCACCCCUUUUGCUCAGCAUUUUAUAAACCUAUGUGUAUUUGCACAAAAGUAGGUUGGUGUUCUUUUCAUAGACAAGAUCAUACUGUACAUAUUGCUCUGCAAAUCGCUAUUUUUUUUGUUUUUCUCUCCUUUAACAUCUCAGAAAUCUUUCCACGCUGGUGUACUGACACACACACACACUAUACAUAUACGCACACACACUAUACAUAUAUACACACACACACUAUACAUAUAUACACACACUAUAAAUAUAUACACACACACUAUACAUAUAUACACACACACACUAUACAUAUAUACACACACUAUACAUAUAUACACACACACAUACAUACACACACACAUUGUAUAUAGGUUGUCCUCUUUCGUUUUAAUGCUUACAUAGUAUUCCACAAUAGUAAUAAACAUCAUUUAUUUACACUUCUCCAUUAUGAACAUUUAGCUCACUUCCACUUUUUUGAUACUAUUAAUACAAUCAAUGUUUCCAUGAAUACCAUAUACAAGCUAUUUGCAUGGAUGUUUGAGAAAGUCUCUAAGAUAGAUGCUGGGGAAUGAAUUUGCUGGAUCAAAGGGUAUGUGCAGUUUAAAUUUUAAUACGUGCUGCCCAAUUAUUCUCUAAAAGGACUGAAGUCAUUCACAUUCCCACCAGCGGUGUUAGAGGCUUUUCUAGGUAGGCAGACAACUUUGCUGAUGAUUUUAUAUCAAGGGCCUCACUUUAAAAGAUUAUAUUUAGACACCAUCACAGGAUCUUUUAAAAACAAACCCUUAAAAUAUUAUGCAAUCAUCACUUCCUUUGUGGAAAAAAUUAGAAAAAGUGGGAAAUAUAUAUGAAUAUAAUAAAAGUAAAAAUCGUCCAGUGAUGAUCGCAUUAGUGAGCUUUUCUUCUAGACUUUCUGUAGGGAGAACAUACAUUUACAUAAUACAGGCCUAGGAUCACAUUAUUAUAUAUACUGUUCGUAGUUGACUGUUUACAUUUAAUGGUGUAUAGCGGAGCCCUGCCCAUUGAACUGACUACAAAUCGACGUAAUGUUUCAAUGGUUUAUAAUAUUUUUUAAUCCCCUAUUGUUGGGCACAAGCGUUUCUAGGUUUUUGCCAUUGUAGAAGAUGCAGUCAUGACUUCUGCUCUCAGAUCUGUGUGUGCUUGCUUUGUGUCUCCCAUGUAUUUCAUCUCUGUUUUCUGCUGCUCUGCUGUUCCAGAGCCUCUUCAAGAUACUGGAAACGUGACGCUGCCUCAGAUUUUAAGACUCUGAGGCUUACCACUAGUGCGUCACUGGCUUUGGGGUGAUGCUCAUUUACCCCACCUCUGAGAGUGUGUGUGCGUGCGUGUGUGUGUGUGUGUGUGUGUGAGAGAGAGAGAGAGACAGGGUCUCACUCAGUUGCCCAGGCUGAUGCACAGUGGUGGUAUCACAGCUUACUGCAGCCUUGACCUCCCAAGGUCAAGCAAUCCUCCCACUUCAGCUUCCCGAGUAGCUGAGAUGACAGGUGCAUGCCAUACCUGGGUAAUUUUGUAUAUUUUUUAUAGAGACAGGGUUUCACUGUGUUGCCCAGGCUGGUCUCAAACUCCUAGUCUCAAGCGACCCACCCGCCUCAGCCUCCCAGAAUGCCGGAUCACACCUGUAAUCCCAGCACCCCCCUCCACUCUCAAUGUACGUCCAUCAAGGAUUCUUCCUCCCAGCCACUACCUUGGACUGCCCUGAUCUCCUAAGAUGACAAAAACUCACCUCUGCCCAGAGAGGUCUGUAUCAGUUUCUGGGGCUGCUGGAACAAAAUACUAUAAACCAGUGGCUUAAACCAGCAAAAAUUAUUCUGUCACAGUUCUGGAGGUCGGAAGUCCAAAAUCAAGGUGUUGGCAGGGCCGCACAUCCUCCAAAAGAUCUAGAUGAGAAUCUGUCCUUGCCUGUUCCAGCUUCUGGCGGCUCCUGGAGUUUCCUGGUGUUCCGUGGCUCAUGGCAGCAUCAUUCCAAUCUCCGCCUCUGUCUUCACACGGCCUUCUCGGCAUCUGUUCUCUUUUCUGUGUCUCUUGUAAGGACCCACCAUUAGAGUUAGGACCCACCUGGAUAAUACAGGAUCUUGAGAUCCUUCAGUGAAUUACAUCUGCAAAGACCCUUUUUACAAAUAAGGUCCACAUUCAGAGCAGGCAUCAGGAUGUGGACACAGCUUUUUGGGAGUCACUGUUCAAUCCACCAUGAAACCCCCCCUGUGGCUGCCUUCCAUACUAGUGCCUCCCGCCAUCUUUACCCACCUACCCCUCGCCCUGUGAGCAGACAAAGCACCUUCUCAAACCACGCUGUUCUGGGGCUUUUGGUUCUGAAGGCCUUUGAAGCUGCAGACUUUGGGGCUACUCCUCAAACCCUGGUCAGAGGAUGAGACCCAGUGUUGGGGCAUCCCAGUCACCUACAUGCUUCUCAGAGCAGGUCUUAACUAUUUGUCUCCUUCAAGGGCUGUUUCUAGACUUGCCUCUUCAUCCAGCCUUCCCACCAGGCAUCACAGCCCGAGGCAUCCGGCCAAGACGGCUGGGGCCCCGAGUCUCUCAGCCAAGCAGGAAUGGCGCCCACCAAGAUAUUAAGGCCAUGCAUUAGAAAGCACAGGCCCAGAAGGUAAUCAAAAGUAAUGUGGCUUUGCUCACAUUUCAGAGCUUCCGUUCCUCUUUUGAAUCUCCCGGACCUUGGCAAAUCUCCAUUCUUUACGGGUAGAUUUGAUUUUUAGAAACAGUCAGUAGCCAUGGGGGACUAAAGCAGCUCCUGAGAUGGAUGACGAAAAGCUGGAGAAACCAUUUGGAGUCAAGAAGGAUG
Molecule: long non-coding RNA, 4253 nt
Organism: Gorilla gorilla gorilla (western lowland gorilla)
Lineage: Eukaryota; Metazoa; Chordata; Mammalia; Primates; Hominidae
Exons: 4
Source: RefSeq, a predicted model, not a curated record